GAUGAACGCUGGCGGCGUGCCUAAUACAUGCAAGUCGAGCGAACAGACGAGGAGCUUGCUCCUCUGACGUUAGCGGCGGACGGGUGAGUAACACGUGGAUAACCUACCUAUAAGAGUGGGAUAACUUCGGGAAACCGGAGCUAAUACCGGAUAAUAUAUUGCACCGCAGGGUUCAAUAGUGAAAGACGGUUUUGCUGUCUCGUAUAGAUGGAUCCGCGCCGCAUUGGCUAGUUGGUAAGGUAACGGCUUACCAAGGCGACGAUGCGUAGCCGACCUGAGAGGGUGAGCGGCCACACUGGAACUGAGACACGGUCCAGACGCCUACGGGAGGCAGCAGUAGGGAAUCUUCCGCAAUGGGCGAAAGCCUGACGGAGCAACGGCGCGUGAGAGAUGAAGGUCUUCGGAUCGUAAAACUCUGUUAUUGGGGAAGAACAAAUGUGUAAGUAACUAUGCACGUCUUGACGGUACCUAAUCAGAAAGCCACGGCUAACUACGUG
This 497-nucleotide ribosomal RNA is filed under the name uncultured bacterium. Its description in RNAcentral is "partial 16S ribosomal RNA". It matches the Rfam family "Bacterial small subunit ribosomal RNA", at positions 28 to 507 of the family's 1533-position model. The record is from RNAcentral.